GGGGAUUAUUUUUAGGGGGUCAUUUAAGAAAUUCUGCCUGCCACAGCACUUAUUCAAAAGAUGAAAGGAAGUUCUUUGGGGAUGCGGGGGAGAAGGAAGUGGGAAUAAACUCUCUCUAAGUAAUAUACUAACAGGAGAAGCCAAGCAUUUGCGAUGAGAGUCCUACCCAUUAUAUCUUCUGCCACCUCUAGAGUGGCUACUUUGGUCACAAUGUCCUAUCACAGUGUCUUGAGGUAAAUGGUCAAUAAUAGACAUUUUAAGGAAUGCUUGGGCACUAAAAAACUAUUGCCAUGCUUUAGUUUUUCCUCAUCAAAUGGUGUCAACACCAAGCCCUCCAAGAACUUGUCCUAAGAAUAUACGUUGGAAAGUGCAGCUUUUUAGAUAUGGCUCAACUAAGAGAGAAUUUCACCGCUCAAAACUCGGAGGACCAGGAUAACACCCCAGUACUCCUCUUACAUGUUCUACUUCAGGAUUCAAGGUGGAUAUUCAUCCCUUCACCUCAUUUCUCUUCAGUGAAGGUUAAGACACACAGGAGCCUCUAUGUUCCUGUGUACCAACUUCGGCUAAACACCAGGGUUGUUCCUGAGCUGCUUUUUCAUCCUGGUGACCUAAGAAGAUCUCAAACUAAUAAAUCCAUCCUGAAAGGCGGGCUGGAACAGGGUUUCUCAUCAUUAAUAUUUAGCAUGUAGAUGGUUUUCAAAGAACAUCAUUUUCUAAUUAGGAUGAUACUUUUGCCUGGUACUGAAGAAACACAACUUGGGGAAACUGAAAUCUAAGAAGAGGGGACCAACUAUAUGGGAAAAGAAUAUAAAAAAGAGUGGAUAUAUGUAUAACUGAUUCACUUUACUGUACACCUGAAACUAACACAACAUUGUGAAGCAACUAUACUCCAAUAAAAAUUUAAAAAAAGAAAAAGAGGGAAACCAAGACUCGCUGCCUUCAGCAUCCCUGGGGUUUUUUUCCUCCAGGUGCUUUAUGGCCAGACUUGCCAACCACAAGA
This is a long non-coding RNA of Bos taurus (domestic cattle), 1000 nucleotides long. The record is from Ensembl. Lineage: Eukaryota; Metazoa; Chordata; Mammalia; Artiodactyla; Bovidae.